This 1800-nucleotide long non-coding RNA is filed under the name Homo sapiens (human). RNAcentral describes it as "HSALNT0159723". The record is from RNAcentral. Lineage: Eukaryota; Metazoa; Chordata; Mammalia; Primates; Hominidae.
UGCAGGUUGUUAGGGAAGUGAGGGAAAGCUGGCAGUCACAGGCCUCACCCAGCUCCCAUGCAAUCCAAAUGGCCAGUCUCACUCUCACCAUGCCCCCUCUAAAGCAUUGAGUCUGUUUCCAAGCAGUGGGUAAGCAGGGGUGAGAACUUGCCGCAGGCUACCCACCUCCCAGCUGUGAAAGAAAAGGGCUUUCGUUCUUCCCCCACCUGUGGAGUCUACACGCUGGAUUUGUGCCCUCCCUUGAGUUCUGGCCAGGAGGCUUCUCCACCUGUUCAAAUUGUUAUAAAGUUCAGCUGGAGACUUCCUUCUCUCCGUGGCAUUUUCCUCAUGCCUCUGGCCACCCUCCCAAAGGAUCCCUGUGAGGCCAGGCAGGAAUGGCCUGCUUGGGGACCCAGCAAGCUUCUAGGGCCUUUGCUGCUGCUUCCUCUACCCCUGUAUUUCGCUCGGCUCUCUAAAUGGACUCAGCUCCAGCUCUCUACUUACAGGUAAAUUGUCUUGUGAUUAUUUCCACAGAACUCUGACUUGGAUAAGACUUGUAUCCAUUUUAUUACGAUGUUCUUCUUUUUUACAAUUUAGUUCCCCAGAGGGCAAGACCAAGCUACCUAAGAUCGGAACCCUCUGAUAAUUUGUGCUGCUAUUUUAAGAUCCAGUUCCAUUCUACAACUGGCUGAAGCAUGAAGUCAACUAAAAUAAACUGAAUUGAGUGGAACUGAACUGAACUGAAGUGAAAUAAUGUGAUUUCCAGUAAACCUGACACCUUAAGGACAGAACAUGAGCCUUGCCCAUCUUCCUCCCAGAGGUCCCAGCACAAUCACCGACUCACACAAUACUCUCAGUGCAUGAGUGAUGAAUUUCACUAACAGCGACCCAUCUCUCUACAUAAUCCACUCCGGUUUCACCAGAGCUGAGAGUAUCAUGAAUUACAUCUAUAGAUAGCUGUAAGCUAAUGACCAAAGCACAUAACUGAAUUCAAACAUAUUCUUUAUUGCAGUCAGAUGUGAGAAAACAAAAUUUAGAAGACAAGCCAGAAAGGAAAUGAAGAACAUAAAGAGCCUGAAUUCUCAUCGUCAAUUUUUCCCUGACUGACUCCGUUUUCCUCUCUUCUUUCCAUUUACCUUUCUGUUCCCAUCCCCAUCAUUUUUGUAGUGUUUAUUGAGUGUCUGCUGCAUGCCAGUCAAUGUGCUGAGUACUUUUCAUGUGUUAUACCAUUUGAUCGUCACAGCAGCACACUAUUAUAAUUAUGAAUAUGAUUCCACAUACUAUAUCUAAAAUUUAACUUAAUUUUACAUAGGAGGAAGCUGAGACUUGCCCAAGACUACUCCAUUAGUAAGAUGUGAACCAAGUGAACCAUGUCUGACUCAAACCUAACCCCUGAUUCUCUGAAUCCAUAUCACCGUAGAACUCAACAGUGAAAUAUUGGGGUAGAGACAGGCUGCAUGGAGAUUGUAGCAUGAAUGCAGAUAUUGGAAAUUUACUGGAUGUAUGAUCAGACAAACCAAUUGAAGUGGAGAAGAGAACCAAUCAGCCAAAUCAUUACAGAAGUUGCACCACUGCCUGAAAUAUCUUGACUGAUUCUAUAUAAGUUGAAUUUUUGCCGAAUAAAUUCUGAAAAUAAUUACAAGCUUCCUUUUGAUUUGAAUGUUACACAUCAAGUUCUAGUAAGAGCUAAUUUUACAUCAUUGACAGAUAACAAAAUAGAAGGAACAAAGUGCCCUUUGAGUUAAGGGCACUCCAAUGUCCCGGAAUUUAACCUUUUUGUCAGAUCAAUAAGGUUUAGUGCAACUAGCCAGACACCUGUCC